AUUGAACGCUGGCGGCAUGCCUUACACAUGCAAGUCGAACGGCAGCAUAGGAGCUUGCUCCUGAUGGCGAGUGGCGAACGGGUGAGUAAUAUAUCGGAACGUGCCCUAGAGUGGGGGAUAACUAGUCGAAAGACUAGCUAAUACCGCAUACGAUCUACGGAUGAAAGUGGGGGAUCGCAAGACCUCAUGCUCCUGGAGCGGCCGAUAUCUGAUUAGCUAGUUGGUGGGGUAAAAGCCUACCAAGGCAACGAUCAGUAGCUGGUCUGAGAGGACGACCAGCCGCACUGGGACUGAGACACGGCCCAGACUCCUACGGGAGGCAGCAGUGGGGAAUUUUGGACAAUGGGGGCAACCCUGAUCCAGCAAUGCCGCGUGAGUGAAGAAGGCCUUCGGGUUGUAAAGCUCUUUUGUCAGGGAAGAAACGGUAGUAGCGAAUAACUAUUACUAAUGACGGUACCUGAAGAAUAAGCACCGGCUAACUACGUGCCAGCAGCCGCCGCCG
This 502-nucleotide ribosomal RNA is filed under the name uncultured bacterium. RNAcentral describes it as "partial 16S ribosomal RNA". It matches the Rfam family "Bacterial small subunit ribosomal RNA", at positions 30 to 523 of the family's 1533-position model. The record is from RNAcentral.